RNAcentral lists this transfer RNA (71 nucleotides) under Loxodonta africana (African savanna elephant). It matches the Rfam family "tRNA". Rfam says of the family: Transfer RNA (tRNA) molecules are approximately 80 nucleotides in length. Their secondary structure includes four short double-helical elements and three loops (D, anti-codon, and T loops). Further hydrogen bonds mediate the characteristic L-shaped molecular structure. tRNAs have two regions of fundamental functional importance: the anti-codon, which is responsible for specific mRNA codon recognition, and the 3' end, to which the tRNAs corresponding amino acid is attached (by aminoacyl-tRNA synthetases). tRNAs cope with the degeneracy of the genetic code in two manners: having more than one tRNA (with a specific anti-codon) for a particular amino acid; and 'wobble' base-pairing, i.e. permitting non-standard base-pairing at the 3rd anti-codon position. Lineage: Eukaryota; Metazoa; Chordata; Mammalia; Proboscidea; Elephantidae. The record is from Rfam by way of RNAcentral.
GCCCUGGUGGUGUAAUGGUUAAGCACUCAGCUGCUAACUGAAAAGUUGGAGGUUCAAGCCUACCUAGUGCC